AACUGUCAAGUUUAGAUGGCCGUUUUUCAUACAAGGUUAUUUUUGGGUGUGGAACUCACAAUCCUGGCAAGUAUUUUUUGGGUGUUUAUGCGGGUAUAUUAGGAUUCCAAAAUCUUAAGUAUUCCUUCCCAACCCAGAUUAGAGCUGCCAAAUUCUCCUUUUGUCUAAUUACGCAAACUGAAAUGAGUACUGCCCUUUACCUGUAUGACUUUCCAACCCCGCACGAUAAAUCAAUUGUUGUGUCAUUGCAACGACACCCAUUUUAUGAUUUUUCUUUUUAUUAUGUGGAAUUCAAAGGAAUCUCAAUCCACGGGGAAAUGCUCGAAGUAAGUCCAGAUAAAUGGGAAAUCAAUUCAGAUGGUAGCUAUGGUGUACUUUUGGAUACUGGAACCAGAAUAACAAGGUUUCCAAGAGAAAUAUAUACCCAAUUUCGUGAUAAGUUUGUGGAUGAAACCGAAGAUUUCGUUCCCUUACGAGUAAGCUAUUGGGGCCUAGACGCAUGCUAUAAAACAAAUAUAUAUUAUCUGAAUUAUUUUCCUGAGGUGUCGCUUCAUUUUACUGAUGAGAAGGUCCUUCAUCUAGACCCACGGCAAGUCUUGUAUGAAGUACAGACUGGGGUAUAUUGUCUUGCAUUUGCACCUUUGGAUCGAUCACUAACGAUGUUGGGGAGUUAUCAACUCGGGAGGACAAGACUUUCUUUCAAUUUAGCAGAG
This 713-nucleotide unclassified non-coding RNA is filed under the name Hevea brasiliensis (rubber tree). Lineage: Eukaryota; Viridiplantae; Streptophyta; Magnoliopsida; Malpighiales; Euphorbiaceae. The record is from RNAcentral.